RNAcentral lists this ribosomal RNA (468 nucleotides) under uncultured bacterium. RNAcentral's name for it is "partial 16S ribosomal RNA". It matches the Rfam family "Bacterial small subunit ribosomal RNA", at positions 28 to 523 of the family's 1533-position model. The record is from RNAcentral.
GAUGAACGCUGGCGGCGUGCCUAACACAUGCAAGUCGAGCGAUCUUCUUCGGAAGAGAGCGGCGGACGGGUGAGUAACGCGUGGGUAACCUGCCCUGUACACACGGAUAACAUACCGAAAGGUAUGCUAAUACGAGAUAAUAUACUUUUAUCGCAUGGUAGAAGUUUCAAAGCUCCGGCGGUACAGGAUGGACCCGCGUCUGAUUAGCUAGUUGGUAAGGUAACGGCUUACCAAGGCGACGAUCAGUAGCCGACCUGAGAGGGUGAUCGGCCACAGUGGAACUGAGACACGGUCCAAACUCCUACGGGAGGCAGCAGUGGGGAAUAUUGCACAAUGGGCGAAAGCCUGAUGCAGCAACGCCGCGUGAGCGAUGAAGGCCUUCGGGUCGUAAAGCUCUGUCCUCAAGGAAGAUAAUGACGGUACUUGAGGAGGAAGCCCCGGCUAACUACGUGCCAGCCGCCGCAGUAA